AAUUCGACGCUACGCGAAGAACCUUACCUGGGCUUGACAUGCUUGAGAACGGACCAAGAAACUGGUCCCUCCAUGACCGCAAGGUCAUGGCUCAUCCACAGGUGCUGCAUGGUUGUCGUCAGCUCGUGUCGUGAGAUGUAAGGUUAAGUCCUUGAACGAGCGCAACCCCUGUCGCUAGUUGCUAACCAGCAAUGGUGCACCCUAGCGAUACUGCCAGCUAAAAGUUGGAGGAAGGAGGGAUGACGUCAAAUCCUCAUGGCCUUUAUGUCCAGGGCUACACACAUGCGACAAUGGUCGGUACAACGGGUCGCAACACCGCGAGGUGAAGCCAAUCCCUAAAAGCCGCUCUCAGUUCGGAUUGCAGGCUGCAACUCGCCUGCAUGAAGCCGGAAUCGCUAGUAAUCGCGGAUCAGCAUGCCGCGGUGAAUACGUUCCCGGGCCUU
Molecule: ribosomal RNA, 443 nt
Filed under: uncultured Caldisericum sp.
Lineage: Bacteria; Pseudomonadati; Caldisericota; Caldisericia; Caldisericales; Caldisericaceae
Description: bacterial SSU rRNA
Rfam family: Bacterial small subunit ribosomal RNA
Source: RNAcentral